RNAcentral lists this ribosomal RNA (506 nucleotides) under uncultured bacterium. Its description in RNAcentral is "partial 16S ribosomal RNA". It matches the Rfam family "Bacterial small subunit ribosomal RNA", at positions 28 to 523 of the family's 1533-position model. The record is from RNAcentral.
GAUGAACGCUAGCUACAGGCUUAACACAUGCAAGUCGAGGGGUAACGAGAGGAAAGCUUGCUUUCCUUGUUGACGACCGGCGCACGGGUGAGUAACGCGUAUCCAACCUGCCCACAACUAGGGAAUAACCUUGCGAAAGUAAGACUAAUACCCUAUAAUUUCCUCAGAUGUCAUCUGACGAGGAAUAAAGAUUUAUCGGUUGUGGAUGGGGAUGCGUCUGAUUAGCUUGUUGGCGGGGUAACGGCCCACCAAGGCAACGAUCAGUAGGGGUUCUGAGAGGGAGGUCCCCCACAUUGGAACUGAGACACGGUCCAAACUCCUACGGGAGGCAGCAGUGAGGAAUAUUGGUCAAUGGGCGGAAGCCUGAACCAGCCAAGUAGCGUGCAGGAUGACGGCCCUAUGGGUUGUAAACUGCUUUUAUACAGGAAUAAAGUUAGCCACGUGUGGUUAUUUGUAGGUACUGUAUGAAUAUGGACCGGCUAAUUCCGUGCCAGCCGCCGCCGUAA